UUCCCGCACACAACCUCCAUCGCCUCCGCAUCAGCAUCGCUCUCCCACGUCCGUUGCCGCCCGCCGCCACCUCCGCCCCUUCUCUCACGCCUUCUCCCCUCGUUCCUCUCUCCUAGCCUAUCUCUAGCCCUUCACUUCUCCUUUUCUUCCCCGAGUACGGUAGCGGAAGGGGGGUCGCGACGGGACGGUAGCGGAAGGGGGGUCGCGACGGGAGAGAGGUUCUCCACCCCUAGCAAAUGACGUCGCCGCCUCUAACCUCGACCUCGUGUGCAGCAGCGGCAGGGACCUCUGCCCGUGGGUCUUUGUCUCACUGAUCAUCCUCCGGGAGGCGAUUCGCUAUCGGCGCCUUAGCGUCGGCUGCCACGUGAAGGAGGGUCGUGCUCCUGGUCAGGAUCUCCGUGCUCCCGCUCCUGCGCUCCGUGAAGCGACGGCCACGCGCGGCGCGAUGGGCCCCGGCGGCGCUGUUCUCAUCGGGGAUCAUCGCCGGCGACAAGCCCGUUCUGGUGCGUGAUUUCGUGAGGUUGGCGUUGUACGACCCCAACCACGGCUACUUCUCCAAGCGGUCGGGACCCGUGGGUGUGCUCGACUCCCCCAGCUGCUUCCACAAGUUCGACGUACUGCUUGCUUCUGUGCCUCCCAUGUGCUCCUUCGCCAAGUUCGGUCUGUUGGAGUGCACUUGAUCGAGGAAUUUGGGUUUUUUCAGUUGUUUGUUGGGGCGGCAUUUCCACAAACAUGUUGGAUGCAUAACAACAUUCUUGCAAGCCUUGAUCCCUAUCUUCAAUGGAAUACUCUUGGUAUGCAUUUUGAUUGGUUUCUCCUUACGUCUGCGGGGAAGGCACGAUAUGUUUGCGAUGCUGUCCUCUGUGAGGGGAGACGCUGCUCCACACACCAACACCGGCGCCACCGAGAAGCUUAGCAUGAGUAAAUGGAUGUGUGCGUCAGAGUUGUGCCCGUGUUCCCUUAUUGCUACUGUAGUAGCUUUCUCUGCACUGCACUUUUCUAUUCACCGUAUUUUACUUA
Molecule: long non-coding RNA, 1020 nt
Organism: Hordeum vulgare subsp. vulgare (domesticated barley)
Lineage: Eukaryota; Viridiplantae; Streptophyta; Magnoliopsida; Poales; Poaceae
Exons: 3
Source: RefSeq, a predicted model, not a curated record